This 85-nucleotide transfer RNA is filed under the name Henriciella aquimarina. It matches the Rfam family "tRNA". From Rfam's summary of the family: Transfer RNA (tRNA) molecules are approximately 80 nucleotides in length. Their secondary structure includes four short double-helical elements and three loops (D, anti-codon, and T loops). Further hydrogen bonds mediate the characteristic L-shaped molecular structure. tRNAs have two regions of fundamental functional importance: the anti-codon, which is responsible for specific mRNA codon recognition, and the 3' end, to which the tRNAs corresponding amino acid is attached (by aminoacyl-tRNA synthetases). tRNAs cope with the degeneracy of the genetic code in two manners: having more than one tRNA (with a specific anti-codon) for a particular amino acid; and 'wobble' base-pairing, i.e. permitting non-standard base-pairing at the 3rd anti-codon position. Lineage: Bacteria; Pseudomonadati; Pseudomonadota; Alphaproteobacteria; Hyphomonadales; Hyphomonadaceae. RNAcentral also lists the same sequence under 1 other name. The record is from RNAcentral.
GAGGAGUGGCAGAGUGGUUGAAUGCGGCGGUCUUGAAAACCGUUGAGCGUGCGAACGUUCCGGGGGUUCGAAUCCCUCCUCCUCC